CCGAAUAUGGCCGUGACCUCUUGAUGAAUCUGAACUAACACAAACUUAGAUGCCUUGGGGAUAUCCUGGAGGAAUAGAUCCGGCGUUUUAUUUCCCCCUCUUGCUUUAUUGUGUAUUUUCCCCUCCAGCGUUUGGUCUUUGAACCGCUCGUCAACAACAAAGAACAACAACCAAUA
This is a long non-coding RNA of Daphnia carinata, 176 nucleotides long. RefSeq lists it as uncharacterized. NCBI's taxonomy places the organism in Eukaryota, Metazoa, Arthropoda, Branchiopoda, Diplostraca, Daphniidae. The transcript is spliced from 3 exons. The record is from RefSeq and is a predicted model, not a curated record.